This 1632-nucleotide long non-coding RNA is filed under the name Parus major (Great Tit). RNAcentral's name for it is "lncRNA (ENSPMJG00000018211.1)". The record is from RNAcentral. Lineage: Eukaryota; Metazoa; Chordata; Aves; Passeriformes; Paridae.
GUGACCACCAACACUAGGAAACAGUCUGUCUUUUCGUGAGGGCAUUUCCACCUGUCCUGCUCUGAAAGUAUCAGUGCUAUCAGUGGGGCAGAACUCAGACAAGCAUCUUAAUGCAAACAUCGCAGUAACUGAAAUGUGAAGCUGGAAAUCCAGAGAAUUCUCCAAAAGCUUUAAGUAGCUUUUUAGGCUUCAUUCAUGUUGGGCCUAAUGGAUCCUCAAAGGGGAGAAUGGUUUAUCAAAGACAAGCAUUUUAAGUACCUCGUGUUUAUGUGGGUGUGCACAAGUUAUGUAAGAUUUUGGAGAGAUGGAUGGUGGCAGAGCUGUUGGACAUCCUGUACUGCUGUAACAAUUGCCUUACAGCCUGUUCUGUCCAGGCAGUCUCUUCCCUAGGAAAGUUUAGAAGCAGCAUACUGCCUGGUGAAGAAAUUGAAGCUCACAGAGUUGGCAUAAACAUGUUGCAAAAUAUCUGUACUUUCUCCCCCAAGGAAGGAGCAAUGCUUGCUUUCCCUCAGGACAGCUUGGUGAGUAGGAUCCAGUCAUCUGCACCCACAAUUCUUCUUAUAUGGUUGUUUUGCACCUUUGCUAAGCAGAGUUCUGUGGUUUGUGACUGGUCUCCUCCGUGCUCAUCCUGAAAGUAAUUUUUCAUUAAAAAUUAAAAGUGCAGUUUUUGGCACUGGCAUAAGUCCAGGUCCUCAGUUGUACUUGCAUUGAAUGACUGUGUAUCUUGAGCUUUGUUUUGAUUUUCCAAUACAAAUGAAUCUCAGCUUCUCUCUAGACACCUGUUUUCACCUGUUUGCACCAAAGUUGUGUUGCAGGGAUUGCUUAUUCAGACACGAUGUGAAACAACUGAGCAAAGCAGGGUCUGCCUAGGGAAAUUUGAUUAACCUUAAAGAAAUUUCAGAAGAUGCUGGGUAAUCUCCAAAUUUUGGAUGUGAGCAGCAUGCUCUGGUAUCAGGUUUCAGCCCAGAAAUGUAGUGCUGCAUCAGUGAAGGGACUGAAGCCUUAACUUUGUAUUGAGCCCACUGCUUUUCUUUGAGCACUGUAACAUUUUUCUGCUGUCCUUGCCCUCUUGUAGCCACCUGUUGCCUCUGGUCAUGCAGAUGUAGAUAAAGCUCUCUGUACAGGGUCAUAUCUUUGUAAAGUUUUUUAUUAUGGCAAGGAAAACACGGUCUUGAUUCCUGUCUGGAAUAAUAAUAUAAAUCAAUGGCAACAACUGUACAAUUCCCUUACAGCUCUAGAGGUAGAAUCAUGGCAAUUAAAAUAAUGUGCAAUUAAGGAGAGCUUGAAAAAGCUUUUAAAUCCAGGAAGCAAGUCAAGAUGCUUUGCUGAUGAUUUGCUAGUUUGUAGAAAUUGCAAGUGGUUGCAAAUUGGCUUGCUUUUACCAUGAAGUAAAGCUAUUCUCCAGUGUGUGUUUAGCUGGAUUUAUGAAAAACAUCUCAGCAUGGCUGGAAAUGACCAACAGUAGUUGCUGCCUUUACUUGCAUCCACCAGACCACAUAGAUUUACAGCAAACUAAGCAACUGUUUGCACAUUUCUUCAGGCCUUCUAAACCACCCUGUAACAACCAAUUUUUCUUUUUCCUAUUGUCGUUGUUAUAAUCAGGCCUUGAUAAGAAUUGCUGCCAGAGACACC